AACGAACGCUGGCGGCACGUUUUAAGCAUGCAAGUCGAAUGGCAGCAGGGGCAACUCUGUGAGAAUGGCGAACGGGUGAGUAACACGUAGGUGAUCUGCCUUGAGGAUGGGGAUAGCCUGUGGAAACACAGGGUAAUACCGAAUGAGCUGACGAGACUUUGGUUUUGUUAGUAAAGGUGCUACGGCACCGCCUUGAGAGGAGCCUGCGGCUGAUUAGCUAGUUGGUGGGGUAAGAGCUUACCAAGGCGACGAUCAGUAGCCGGCCUGAGAGGGUGUACGGCCACACUGGAGAUGAGACACGGUCCAGACUCCUACGGGAGUCAGCAGCUAAGAAUCUUCCGCAAUGGGCGAAAGCCUGACGGAGCGAUGCCGCGUGAUCGAUGAAGGUCGAGAGAUUGUAAAGAUCUUUUCUACAUGAGGAAUAAGUCUGGGAGGGAAUGCCCGGAUGAUGACGUUAGUGUAGGAAUAAGCCCCGGCUAAUUACGUGCCAGCCGCCGCCGUAA
RNAcentral lists this ribosomal RNA (503 nucleotides) under uncultured bacterium. RNAcentral's name for it is "partial 16S ribosomal RNA". It matches the Rfam family "Bacterial small subunit ribosomal RNA", at positions 29 to 523 of the family's 1533-position model. The record is from RNAcentral.